GAUGAACGCUGGCGGCGUGCCUAAUACAUGCAAGUCGAGCGAACGGACGAGAAGCUUGCUUCUCUGAUGUUAGCGGCGGACGGGUGAGUAACACGUGGAUAACCUACCUAUAAGACUGGGAUAACUUCGGGAAACCGUAGCUAAUACCGGAUAAUAUUUUGAACCGCAUGGUUCAAAAGUGAAAGACGGUCUUGCUGUCACUUAUAGAUGGAUCCGCGCUGCAUUAGAUAGUUGGUAAGGUAACGGCUUACCAAGGCAACGAUGCAUAGCCGACCUGAGAGGGUGAUCGGCCACCCGGGAACUGAGACACGGUCCAGACUCCUACGGGAGGCAGCAGUAGGGAAUCUUCCGCAAUGGGCGAAAGCCUGACGGAGCAACGCCGCGUGAGUGAUGAAGGUCUUCGGAUCGUAAAACUCUGUUAUUAGGGAAGAACAUAUGUGUAAGUAACUGUGCACAUCUUGACGGUACCUAAUCAGAAAGCCACGGCUAACUACGUG
RNAcentral lists this ribosomal RNA (497 nucleotides) under uncultured bacterium. RNAcentral describes it as "partial 16S ribosomal RNA". It matches the Rfam family "Bacterial small subunit ribosomal RNA", at positions 28 to 507 of the family's 1533-position model. The record is from RNAcentral.